AUUGAACGCUGGCGGCAUGCCUUACACAUGCAAGUCGAACGGCAGCACGGGUGCUUGCACCUGGUGGCGAGUGGCGAACGGGUGAGUAAUACAUCGGAACAUGUCCUGUAGUGGGGGAUAGCCCGGCGAAAGCCGGAUUAAUACCGCAAACGAACCACGGAUGAAAGCGGGGGACCUUCGGGCCUCGCGCUUUCGGGUUGGCCGAUGGCUGAUUAGCUAGUUGGUGGGGUAAAGGCCUACCAAGGCGACGAUCAGUAGCUGGUCUGAGAGGACGACCAGCCACACUGGGACUGAGACACGGCCCAGACUCCUACGGGAGGCAGCAGUGGGGAAUUUUGGACAAUGGGCGAAAGCCUGAUCCAGCAAUGCCGCGUGUGUGAAGAAGGCCUUCGGGUUGUAAAGCACUUUUGUCCGGAAAGAAAUCCUUGACUCUAAUACAGUCGGGGGAUGACGGUACCGGAAGAAUAAGCACCGGCUAACUACGUG
This 486-nucleotide ribosomal RNA is filed under the name uncultured bacterium. Its description in RNAcentral is "partial 16S ribosomal RNA". It matches the Rfam family "Bacterial small subunit ribosomal RNA", at positions 30 to 507 of the family's 1533-position model. The record is from RNAcentral.